Molecule: ribosomal RNA, 460 nt
Filed under: uncultured bacterium
Lineage: Bacteria
Description: partial 16S ribosomal RNA
Rfam family: Bacterial small subunit ribosomal RNA
Source: RNAcentral
UCUACGGGAGGCAGCAGUGAGGAAUAUUGGUCAAUGGACGAGAGUCUGAACCAGCCAAGUAGCGUGAAGGAUGACUGCCCUAUGGGUUGUAAACUUCUUUUAUAUGGGAAUAAAAUGUUCCACGUGUGGGAUUUUGUAUGUACCAUAUGAAUAAGGAUCGGCUAACUCCGUGCCAGCAGCCGCGGUAAUACGGAGAAUCCGAGCGUUCUCCGGUUUUAUUGGGUUUAAAGGGAGCGUAGGUGGAUUGUUAAGUCAGUUGUGAAAGUUGGCGGCUCAACCGUAAAAUUGCAGUUGAAACUGGCAGUCUAGAGUACAGAAGAGGUGGGCGGAAUUCGUAGUGUAGCGGUGAAAUGCUUAGAUAUCACGAAGAACUCCGAUUGCGAAGGCAGUUCACUGGACUGCAACUGACACUGAGGCUCGAAAGUGUGGGUAUCAAACAGGAUUAGAUACCCUUGUAGUC